This 308-nucleotide ribosomal RNA is filed under the name uncultured bacterium. RNAcentral describes it as "bacterial SSU rRNA". It matches the Rfam family "Bacterial small subunit ribosomal RNA", at positions 28 to 349 of the family's 1533-position model. The record is from RNAcentral.
GAUAGACGCUGGCGGCGUGCCUAACACAUGCAAGUCGAACGCCCUUUUGCGCAAGUGAGAGGGAGUGGCGGACGGGUGAGUACCACGUGGGUACCUACCUUGAGGUGAGGAAUACCACCGAGAAAUCGGUGACAAGACCGCAUACGCUUGGCAACAAGCAAAGUCUCGCAAGAGACGCCACAAGAUGGGCCUGCGCCUGAUUAGCUAGUUGGUGAGGUAAUGGCUCACCAAGGCGACGAUCAGUAGCUGGUCUGAGAGGAUGAUCAGCCACACUGGGAUUGAGAACGGCCCAGACUCCGUACGGGGGC